CCUACGGGAGGCAGCAGUGAGGAAUAUUGGUCAAUGGGCGCAAGCCUGAACCAGCCAUGCCGCGUGCAGGAAGAAUGCCCUAGUGGUUGUAAACUGCUUUUAUUUAGGAAUAAACUCUUGUACGUGUACAAGCCUGAAGGUACUAAAUGAAUAAGCACCGGCUAACUCCGUGCCAGCAGCCGCGGUAAUACGGAGGGUGCAAGCGUUAUCCGGAAUCAUUGGGUUUAAAGGGUCCGCAGGCGGAUUUAUAAGUCAGUGGUGAAAUCCUAUCGCUUAACGAUAGAACUGCCAUUGAUACUGUAAGUCUUGAAUUCGGUCGAAGUGGGCGGAAUGUGUAGUGUAGCGGUGAAAUGCAUAGAUAUUACACAGAACACCAAUAGCGAAGGCAGCUCACUAGGCCUGGAUUGACGCUCAGGGACGAAAGCGUGGGGAUCAAACAGGAUUAGAUACCCCUGUAGUC
RNAcentral lists this ribosomal RNA (460 nucleotides) under uncultured Cryomorphaceae bacterium. RNAcentral's name for it is "bacterial SSU rRNA". It matches the Rfam family "Bacterial small subunit ribosomal RNA", at positions 338 to 795 of the family's 1533-position model. The record is from RNAcentral. Lineage: Bacteria; Pseudomonadati; Bacteroidota; Flavobacteriia; Flavobacteriales; Cryomorphaceae.